CUUUCCCUUCGGGGACUAGGACACAGGUGCUGCAUGGCUGUCGUCAGCUCGUGUCGUGAGAUGUUGGGUUAAGUCCCGCAACGAGCGCAACCCUCGCCAUUAGUUGCCAUCAUUUAGUUGGGAACUCUAAUGGGACUGCCGGUGCUAAGCCGGAGGAAGGUGGGGAUGACGUCAAGUCCUCAUGGCCCUUACAGGGUGGGCUACACACGUGCUACAAUGGCAACUACAGAGGGUU
Molecule: ribosomal RNA, 235 nt
Filed under: Klebsiella variicola
Lineage: Bacteria; Pseudomonadati; Pseudomonadota; Gammaproteobacteria; Enterobacterales; Enterobacteriaceae
Description: partial 16S ribosomal RNA
Rfam family: Bacterial small subunit ribosomal RNA
Source: RNAcentral